This 56-nucleotide transfer RNA is filed under the name Dipodomys ordii (Ord's kangaroo rat). It matches the Rfam family "tRNA", at positions 8 to 62 of the family's 71-position model. Rfam says of the family: Transfer RNA (tRNA) molecules are approximately 80 nucleotides in length. Their secondary structure includes four short double-helical elements and three loops (D, anti-codon, and T loops). Lineage: Eukaryota; Metazoa; Chordata; Mammalia; Rodentia; Heteromyidae. The record is from Rfam by way of RNAcentral.
UGGCUGAGUGGUAGAGCACAUGCCUUGCAUGCAUGAGGCCGUGGGUUCAAUUCCUC